This 879-nucleotide ribosomal RNA is filed under the name Triticum aestivum (bread wheat). RNAcentral describes it as "partial small subunit ribosomal RNA". Lineage: Eukaryota; Viridiplantae; Streptophyta; Magnoliopsida; Poales; Poaceae. The record is from RNAcentral.
UCUUCCUUUUUUAUCUUACUGGAUAUCUCUAGUCAGAUAAAGCUUAAUCUUUGGUCACAAGCUAAACAAUCUUGGCAAACCAUAUAUGCCAUACCCGAUGAUCCCUGCAUUCCUCCUGCUACUUGUGGACCUUACACGGUCUGCAAUGGCAAUGCACAUCCAUCAUGUGACUGUAUGAAGAGCUUCUCUCAGAAGUCACUGCAGGAUUGGGAAUUUGAGGACAGAACAGAAGGAUGCAUCAGAAAUAGACCAUUGCAUUGCACUAGUGACAGAAACAUCACAAGUUCAACGGACAUGUUCCAUCCCAUUUCUCAAGUUACAUUGCCCUACAACCCGCAGAGCAUAGUCGUUGCUUCUACUCAGAGCAAAUGUGAAGAAGCUUGUCUCAGUUCCUGCUCCUGCACUGCUUAUUCAUAUAACAAUAGCAGAUGCUAUGUCUGGAAUGGGGAAUUGCUUAGUGUAAAUCUUAACAACGGCAUUACUAUCACUUCUGAAGAUGUUCUUUAUCUCCGUCUUUCUGCCAAAGAUUUCUUGCCAAGUUUGAGAAAAAACAAAAGAAAACCAAACGUUGGAGUUGUUAUUGCCACAAGCAUUACUGGGUUUGGGUUACUCAUUCUCCUGUUCUUGUUACUGAAUUGGAGGAACAAAUUCAUGUGGUGUGGUUUGCUGCCAUUAUACUAUGACAAUCAAGGUAGUGUUGGCGGGAUUAUAGCCUUCAAAUAUACUGAUUUAGUUCGUGCUACUAAAAACUUCUAUGAAAAGUUAGGUGUUGGAAGUUUUGGUUCUGUAUACAAGGGAGUGUUAAGUGACUCGAAGACUAUUGUAGCAGUGAAAAGGCUAGAUGGUGCCCGUCAAGGAGAGAAGCAAUUCAGGGCUGAG